CAUGACUAUAGGACCGAGAGGAGACUGAGAAACACAGGAAGCACCAGAGUGGUUGAAAGGAGCUGAAGGCUCAGACAGCAA
Molecule: long non-coding RNA, 81 nt
Filed under: Pongo abelii (Sumatran orangutan)
Lineage: Eukaryota; Metazoa; Chordata; Mammalia; Primates; Hominidae
Description: lincRNA
Source: RNAcentral